RNAcentral lists this unclassified non-coding RNA (250 nucleotides) under plant metagenome. Its description in RNAcentral is "partial contains small subunit ribosomal RNA, internal transcribed spacer 1, and 5.8S ribosomal RNA". The record is from RNAcentral.
GUAGGUGAACCUGCGGAAGGAUCAUUAUCGUUGGGCUUCGGCCCAUUCGAGAUAACACCCUUGCCUUUUUGAGUACCUUUUCGUUUCCUCGGCAGGCUCGCCUGCCAACGGGGACCCUUCAAAACGCUUUGUAAUACCUGUAAUCGUCUGAUAUAACAAGCAAAAAUCAAAACUUUCAACAACGGAUCUCUUGGUUCUGGCAUCGAUGAAGAACGCAGCAUCUGACUGACUCCGGGAUUUCAAAUCUCGU